UAGAGUUUGAUCCUGGCUCAGAAUCAACGCUGGCGGCGUGCCUAACACAUGCAAGUCGAGCGAGAAAAGGGGAGCAAUCCCCUGAGUACAGCGGCGCACGGGUGAGUAACACGUGGGUAAUCUGCCCUGGAGUGGGGAAUAACACCGGGAAACCGGUGCUAAUACCGCAUACGAUCACAGAGUCUGCGGAUUUUGUGAUGAAAGGAGCAAUUCGCUCUAGGAGGAGCCCGCGGCUGAUUAGCUAGUUGGUGAGGUAAUGGCUCACCAAGGCAACGAUCAGUAUCCGGUCUGAGAGGACGGUCGGACACACUGGAACUGAGACACGGUCCAGACUCCUACGGGAGGCAGCAGUGGGGAAUUUUUGGCAAUGGGGGCAACCCUGACCAAGCAACGCCGCGUGGGUGAUGAAGUCUCUUGGGACGUAAAACCC
This 430-nucleotide ribosomal RNA is filed under the name uncultured Acidobacteriota bacterium. RNAcentral's name for it is "bacterial SSU rRNA". It matches the Rfam family "Bacterial small subunit ribosomal RNA", at positions 1 to 433 of the family's 1533-position model. The record is from RNAcentral. Lineage: Bacteria; Pseudomonadati; Acidobacteriota.